Molecule: long non-coding RNA, 419 nt
Filed under: Carica papaya (papaya)
Lineage: Eukaryota; Viridiplantae; Streptophyta; Magnoliopsida; Brassicales; Caricaceae
Description: long non-coding RNA (CPAP_LNC011747)
Source: RNAcentral
GCAACCCCGACAACCAGAACACGCCGCGUGGCAGAGACACUGACGCGGGAGGCCACGCAGAAGGGAAUCACGUGGGCGAUCCGCGUGCGCGCGAUCGAACGGUUGAGAUCCGUUCCCGCGCGCACAAACAGCUCAGAUCAGAAACGCGCACGGACGGCCCAAAUUACAACGUGAUGAACGGCCCAUAUUCAUUUUCUAUUUAAUCGCGAUCGGACGACCCAAAUUAAAUCGUAAUAGACGGCUCAAAUUAAAAGCGGAUGGUUAUAAAUAAUCUCAUCCGCACCCAAACCCUAACUCUAGCCGCCAGAGCCCCUCACCGAAGAAGACAACCCAGCUGCCAGGGAGACGACCGCCACUACUCGCCGCAGCACCGGAGCAAUUUUUAGCCGCCAAACGAGGUAAAAUUUUUUUCCUUGGCU